UUUAAAUGUAAAUUAUUAUACUAAAGUAGUAAUAGUUAAGUUCUUUAAAUUUAAAGAUUUUGGCGGUAUUUUAGUCUAUUCAGAGGAACCUGUUCUGUAAUUGAUAGUCCACGAUUAACUUUACUUAAUUUAAUAAUUUGUAUAUCGUCGUUUAUAAAUGAUUUUAAAAGAAUUUAAAUUUUUAAGAUUUUUUAUUAAAAAAUAUAUCAGAUCAAGGUGCAGUUUAUAAUUAAGUAGAAAUGGGUUACAAUAAAUUUAUUUAUACGAAUUAAUAUAUUAAAUUAUAUUAUGAAGGAGGAUUUGAUAGUAAUAAAAUUAAAUUAAAUUUUAUGAUUUUAGCUCUAAAAUAUGU
Molecule: ribosomal RNA, 352 nt
Filed under: Colymbetes paykulli
Lineage: Eukaryota; Metazoa; Arthropoda; Insecta; Coleoptera; Dytiscidae
Description: partial 12S ribosomal RNA
Source: RNAcentral